AUUGAACGCUGGCGGCAUGCCUUACACAUGCAAGUCGAACGGCAGCGGACCUUCGGGUGCCGGCGAGUGGCGAACGGGUGAGUAAUAUAUCGGAACGUACCUUUCAGUGGGGGAUAACGUAGCGAAAGUUACGCUAAUACCGCAUACGUCCUGAGGGAGAAAGCGGGGGAGUCGCAAGACCUCGCGCGAUUGGAGCGGCCGAUGCCGGAUUAGCUAGUUGGUAGGGUAAAGGCCUACCAAGGCGACGAUCCGUAGCUGGUCUGAGAGGACGACCAGCCACACUGGAACUGAGACACGGUCCAGACUCCUACGGGAGGCAGCAGUGGGGAAUUUUGGACAAUGGGGGCGAACCCCUGAUCCAGCCAUUCCGCGUGAGUGAAGAAGGCC
This 387-nucleotide ribosomal RNA is filed under the name uncultured bacterium. RNAcentral describes it as "bacterial SSU rRNA". It matches the Rfam family "Bacterial small subunit ribosomal RNA", at positions 30 to 416 of the family's 1533-position model. The record is from RNAcentral.